AACUUUCGACAACGGAUCUCUUGGCUCUCGCAUCGAUGAAGAACGCAGCGAAAUGCGAUAAGUAUUGUGAAUUGCAGAAUUCAGUGAAUCAUCGAAUCUUUGAACGCACCUUGCGCCCCUUGGUAUUCCGUGAAGCAUGCCUGUUUGAGUGUCCCUAAAUUCUCAACCUUAUUGGCUUUUGCUGAUAAUGGAUUGGAUGUGGGGUACUCUUUUGCUGGCUUCUUCGCAGAUGUCAGCUCCCCUUAAAUGCAUUAGCUGGUGCCCCGCGUGGACCAUCUAUUGGUGUGAUAAUUAUCUACGCCGUGGAUGUCUGCAAUCAUAUGGGUUUUGCACUGCUUCUAACCGUCUGUUCAUUCGGACAAUACAUGACAAUUUGACCUCAAAUCAGGUAGGACUACCCGCUGAACUUAAGCAUAUCAAUAAGCGGAGGCU
This 432-nucleotide unclassified non-coding RNA is filed under the name uncultured Alnicola. RNAcentral describes it as "sequence contains ITS2". The stretch from base 1 to 154 matches the Rfam family "5.8S ribosomal RNA". The record is from RNAcentral. Lineage: Eukaryota; Fungi; Basidiomycota; Agaricomycetes; Agaricales; Cortinariaceae.